This 332-nucleotide ribosomal RNA is filed under the name Srilankametrus indus. RNAcentral describes it as "Heterometrus indus partial small subunit ribosomal RNA". The record is from RNAcentral. Lineage: Eukaryota; Metazoa; Arthropoda; Arachnida; Scorpiones; Scorpionidae.
UAAAGUAUUAUAAAUUAGGUAGUAACGGAAUUUCCGAAACCUAAAGAACUUGGCGGUGUUUUAAAUAAUUGGAGGAACUUGUUAUUUAAUUGAAAUUCCUCAAUACAUCUUCCCUCAUUUUUGUUUGUAUAUCGUUGUUUCAAGACAACAUUCGAAAAUGUAGUCAAGAUUAAGAAUUUUUACUAAAUCAAAUCAAGGUGCAGCAUUAUGGGGUUAUAAUGAGUUACAAUAUGUUUUAUAUAAACGGAAAUAAGCAUGAAAAAUCAAUAGAAGGUGGAUUCAAAAGUAACAGGAAAUUAAAAAGUUUUUGUGAAUUAUGAUUUAAAAUAUGC